Molecule: transfer RNA, 74 nt
Organism: Enterococcus cecorum
Lineage: Bacteria; Bacillati; Bacillota; Bacilli; Lactobacillales; Enterococcaceae
Rfam family: tRNA
About the family: Transfer RNA (tRNA) molecules are approximately 80 nucleotides in length. Their secondary structure includes four short double-helical elements and three loops (D, anti-codon, and T loops).
Source: Rfam
GUCCGCGUAGCUCAGUAGGAUAGAGCGCACGCCUCCUAAGCGUAAGGUCGGCGGUUCAAUUCCGCCCGUGGACG